UAGUGAUAGCUGGUAGUUCAAGAAAAGAGUCUUAGCUCUGCCUUAAGUUUUUUUAUUACACCAAACAAACCCAAAGCUUAAGAGUUAUUCAAAUUAGGUACAGCUUAUUUGAAACAGGACACAACCUCUCCCAUUGGGUAAAGAAGGGCAAUAAAAAUAAAGUGGGCCCAAAAGCAGCCACCUUUAAAAUAGCGUCAAAGCUUAACUACACAGCCCCCAAUCACUUAAACACCCCCAACCCCUAAUCCAUAUUGAACCAUUUUAUAUUAUUAUAAAAAUGAUCAUGCUAGAACUAGUAACAAGAACUUGCCCUUCUCCUCAUGUAAGCAUAAACCAAAACGGACACUCCGUUGGUGAUCAACGUAAAUGCCAAACUAUAACAACAAAUACCAGAAAACCUUAUAGCAACCAACGUUAUCCUAACACCAGAACAUCUCAGGAAAGAUUAAAAGAGAGAGAAGGAACUCGGCAAAUUUUAGCCCCGCCUGUUUACCAAAAACAUCGCCUCCUGACAACAUAGGAGGUCCAGCCUGCCCAGUGAUAACAUUCAACGGCCGCGGUAUACUAACCGUGCGAAGGUAGCAUAAUCACUUGUUCUUUAAAUAAGGACUUGUAUCAACGGCAUCACGAGGGCUAUACUGUCUCCCCUCUCCAAUCAGUGAAACUGAUCUCCCCGUGAAGAAGCGGGGAUUUAUAUAUAAGACGAGAAGACCCCAUGGAGCUUUAAACCCAAUAUACACCCCUUCGCUCAAACCAAUUUAACCUAAAGGGCCUGUAUAUCGGUUUUAGGCUGGGGGGGCCACGGAGUAAAAUUAAACCUCCACAACAAAUGGGCUAAUACCCUUAUCCACGAUUUACAAAUCUAAGAAUCAUCAAAAUGAUGUUUAAUGACCCGAUAAUUCGAUCAUUGAACCAAGUUACCCUGGGGAUAACAGCGCAAUCCACUUCAAGAGCCCAUAUCGACAAGCGGGUUUACGACCUCGAUGUUGGAUCAGGGUAUCCCAGUGGUGCAACCGCUACUAACGGUUCGUUUGUUCAACGAUUAAAACCCU
This 1052-nucleotide ribosomal RNA is filed under the name Odorrana versabilis (bamboo leaf odorous frog). RNAcentral's name for it is "partial 16S ribosomal RNA". It matches the Rfam family "Bacterial large subunit ribosomal RNA", at positions 840 to 2597 of the family's 2925-position model. The record is from RNAcentral. Lineage: Eukaryota; Metazoa; Chordata; Amphibia; Anura; Ranidae.